GCCGUAAACGAUGGGCACUAGGUGUUGGUGCCAUACGGGCAUCGGUGCCGUAGUCAAGGCGCUAAGUGCACCGCCUGGGGAGUAUGCUCGCAAGGGUGAAACUCAAAGGAAUUGACGGGGGCCCGCACAAGCGGUGGAGCAUGUGGUUUAAUUCGAUGAUACGCGAGGAACCUUACCAGGGUUUGACAUGUGCAGGACAGUCUGUGAGAACAGGCUUUCCCGCAAGGGACCUGCACACAGGUGCUGCAUGGCUGUCGUCAGCUCGUGUCGUGAGACGUU
This 279-nucleotide ribosomal RNA is filed under the name uncultured bacterium. RNAcentral's name for it is "partial 16S ribosomal RNA". It matches the Rfam family "Bacterial small subunit ribosomal RNA", at positions 799 to 1076 of the family's 1533-position model. The record is from RNAcentral.